AUGCGUGCAGGCAUAGAGGAGGUCUUUCCGUUGGCAGUGCACAGGAACUGCAGGUGGCAUAUUAUUAAGAAGGCUGAGGAGACGCUAGGACCAUUCUUUGCUGACCGUCUAGAGCUGCACAAGGCAUUCGAGUUGUGCGUGGACCACAGCUUGACGGUGGAGGAGUUUGAACAGAGCUGGACAGCUAUGAUUGAAACAUAUCAAGUCCAAGACAACGAGACACUUACUAGCCUGUGGGAGAAGUGAAUGUACUGGGUGCCGGCCUACUUCAUGCAGUGCUUCUUCCCAUUUAUGCAGACUACACAGCGCAGCGAGGGGUUCAAUGUUGUUUUGAAGUGGUACGUGAGCCCUGGCAACUCAUUGCUGCAGUUUGCCAAGCAAUACACAGCUUUGCAACAGAAAAUACUUGGAUCUGAGCUACAGCAAGAAGCAAACACCGCGCUCAAGCAGCCUAAAUUGCUAACAUAUUUACCAAUGGAGAGGCAGAUGAGCAAGACAUAUACCAACAAGAUUUUUAACAAGUAA
This 525-nucleotide ribosomal RNA is filed under the name Triticum aestivum (bread wheat). Its description in RNAcentral is "partial small subunit ribosomal RNA". The record is from RNAcentral. Lineage: Eukaryota; Viridiplantae; Streptophyta; Magnoliopsida; Poales; Poaceae.